UGAGUAGGCGGUUGUUCAAGUCAUAUGUGAAAGCCCAGGGCUUAACUCUGGGACUGCAUAAGAAACUGGAUGACUAGAGUACAGGAGAGGUAAGCGGAAUUCUUAGUGUAGCGGUGAAAUGCGUAGAUAUUAAGAAGAACACCAGUGGCGAAGGCGGCUUACUGGACUGAAGCUGACGCUGAGUCACGAAAGCGUGGGGAGCGAACAGGAUUAGAUACCCUGGUAGUCCACGCUGUAAACGAUGAUUGCUAGGUGUUGGCGUGAGAACGUCGGUGCCGCAGUUAACACAAUAAGCAAUCCACCUGGGGGAGUACGACCGCAAGGUUAGAA
RNAcentral lists this ribosomal RNA (330 nucleotides) under uncultured bacterium. RNAcentral describes it as "bacterial SSU rRNA". It matches the Rfam family "Bacterial small subunit ribosomal RNA", at positions 568 to 899 of the family's 1533-position model. The record is from RNAcentral.